CUCAUUUAUCUCCCGGGUCUAUAAUCAAUUUUAGUGUCUCCGAUAUUUAGCUAACGGAGAACAAUCUAUGUCCUAACUCCAUCUGUGUUUAUGUUACACAAUAAUUACCCUACCUCCGCUCCGAUACCGGCUUGUACAUGGUCAUGCUUUUGAUAUUUGUUCAUAAUAGGUAAUUUAUCCUUUCAGGAGUCAACAUGUCGAAAGUACUUCGCUAUGUUAUGUCCAUUGGUAUUAUGGGAGGAAGUCUCCUUGGUGGAUGGGUCUUGAUGAACACUAUCACUCCAGAUCCUGAAGAAUUAUUGAAGCGUCUCCCGGAAGCAGAUCCAGUAAAAAUGGCUGAGUCAAAGCAAAGGACGAAAGAACUCGUAGCAGCACUGAAAGCAGCAGCAGAAAGCCCCCAUCCUAUAUACAAAGAUAUAAAGCGGGAAUGAGAGAAUAGUUAAUGAACUGGUACUCAAAGACAACUGCCGUCUCUAAUGCAGAGAAUUGGGAAGUGAGCAUGGAAGAUCGAAAUAUGAUUGGUAGCUUCAGGCUCAGCGCAUUACAGGAAUCUGUGUCUUCUGCGAUAUACUCCAGGGAAUGAACGUCACUGUUACUCGCCACUCACCAGCCAUGUGACAUGUUGAAUUAAAUCUCCUUGUACGUUAUUCAGCAUUUAUGGGCAUAUAUGUCCGAUGUGACUUAGUUACAUAAUUUUGAUGAUGAAUUACCCUUGACUCCACAAUUACUAUUUUUCAAUGAGAAGAUUCAAGGCUUUAUGUAGGGUCUGUAUUGUUGUAUGCAUGGGUCCCCACCCAGAAACUACAACAUUCUAAGGGUUGUGUUAAGAGAUAGUAGCCCAAGUGUAUGGUACCACUGUUUAUUCCUGUUUAUUUUGAGGCUUUAUUAGCCAAAUAGUUUUUUAAAGACCUGAGUCAAUCUGUUUACUGGUUCCAGAAUGAACACUUUUUUUAAAAGGUGUGAAUGUUUUAUGGAUCAAGUUGAAGCAUACUGAUUGAUUCCUAUGGAACCCUGCUAUGGAUUAUGCAGACACAUUUAAAGCACUAGCAUUAUCACACUGUUAAAAUAGAAAGUAAGAUUGAUUUCAAAAUCAGUGAGGACUGAAAGGAACUGAAAAAAAAUCAGUCAAAAUGUAUCUGUAUGCUUUGAGGAGGGGGGAGGGGGGGAGAUAAAUAAAUAUUAAUUUUUACGUUUUGUACUUGUGAAGAUAAUUUGUAAAAGAGUCCUGUUUAUGUAAGUAAUUUUUUUACAUUGGACAUUUCAAUUUCAGGAAAGUGGACAAUUCUAAAUUCAAUUGAAUGGCAAUAAUUUGAAUUUGCAAAGAAUACAAUUUUUGCAAAAUACUGGUAUUGAAGAGUCCAUAAAUGCAUUGGUUUUGGUAAAGAUCAUGUGAUAUGUUAAUCUUCUUGAACUUUAUCCUUACAUCUUUUAAACAUGAUGUCAUGGGAGACAACUUGAAAUGACAUGAGAUGCAUUAUUUCAACUUUAGAUGGAUAUGGGCUCAUCAUUAUUUUAAAAGUCGAGGCCCGGGUUUAAGGCAGUUAACUUUUCCCUCUGUAACCAGAGUUUCUUUAUGUAAUCAAGUACAAUGAAUGACUAGAGUCAUGGUGUGGUUAGAAAUAAAACAAGAGUAAAAAACUACUUCAAGUUUCUCAGGGUUGUUUCCAUUUUAACAGAAUCUUUACUUGUUGAAUACUAAUCCCCUCAAUCCUUUAGGUAACACAAAUCCUGGGAGGGUAAUUAUUUGUCCAAAUAACUUUCAGUCAGUUGUAGGCCCAACUUACCAGAAUCAUUUUUUGCUCAGUUUGUUGAAAAAUUUGAUUGUUAUUGGGCGAAACGUUAUCCGAAGAUGGGCAUGAAAUCACCCCCAAAGUUGGUCUAACACAAAAUAACCCUGAUGUUGAGCAAUAAUUGUAUCCAUUAUUUUUUGGUUUUACAGUCUUCAAGUCAUCAUCACACAAGUGGCACAACAUUCUCUGGAAAUAUUUCAUUUGUAUAGGGUGAAAUGAAAUGUAUAUUGAUUGGAUGAUAAGGAUAUGAUUCAGUUGAUAAUAUGCAAGCUUCAUCAUUCAUGUCCUAGACGGUUUCAUUUCUCACUUACUCUCAUUUGCUUUUAACAUAUUAUCGAUUACAAUGAAAUUGUUGACAGAAGUUUUAUUACAGAAAUGAUAAGCUUCUGGACCUUUUAAAGGCCUGGCUGAUAUAAUUCUACCGGUGUGGAAGAGUGUAGGUGUUAUGAUCUGGGGGAUACAACAUUGCAGCAAAUUAUUUGUUUAAAAACUUCUGCUGUAUUAAUGUGUGUAUUAUGUACUUUUUCAUGAGUGAUAAAAAUCAAGAAUGAUUUUUAAAAGAAAAUAGAAUAAAACAGAAGCUUCACUUGA
This 2381-nucleotide long non-coding RNA is filed under the name Strongylocentrotus purpuratus (purple sea urchin). Its description in RNAcentral is "uncharacterized LOC115929714". Lineage: Eukaryota; Metazoa; Echinodermata; Echinoidea; Camarodonta; Strongylocentrotidae. The record is from RNAcentral.